AGAGUUUGAUCCUGGCUCAGGACGAACGCUGGCGGCGUGCUUAACACAUGCAAGUCGAGCGGAAAGGCCCUUCGGGGUACUCGAGCGGCGAACGGGUGAGUAACACGUGAGUAACCUGCCCUAGGCUUUGGGAUAACCCUCGGAAACGGGGGCUAAUACUGGAUAUUCCCGCGGGAUCGCAUGGUUUUGUGGGGAAAGGUUUUCCGGCUUGGGAUGGGCUCGCGGCCUAUCAGCUUGUUGGUGGGGUGAUGGCCUACCAAGGCGACGACGGGUAGCCGGCCUGAGAGGGCGACCGGCCACACUGGGACUGAGACACGGCCCAGACUCCUACGGGAGGCAGCAGUGGGGAAUAUUGCACAAUGGGCGGAAGCCUGAUGCAGCGACGCCGCGUGAGGGAUGACGGCCUUCGGGUUGUAAACCUCUUUCAGCCCUGACGAAGCGCAAGUGACGGUAGGGGCAGAAGAAGCGCCGGCCAACUACGUGCCAGCAGCCGCGGUAAGACGUAGGGCGCGAGCGUUGUCCGGAUUUAUUGGGCGUAAAGAGCUCGUAGGCGGCUUGUCGCGUCGGCUGUGAAAUCCCGUGGCUCAACUGCGGGCUUGCAGCCGAUACGGGCAGGCUAGAGUUCGGUAGGGGAGACUGGAAUUCCUGGUGUAGCGGUGAAAUGCGCAGAUAUCAGGAGGAACACCGGUGGCGAAGGCGGGUCUCUGGGCCGAUACUGACGCUGAGGAGCGAAAGCGUGGGGAGCGAACAGGAUUAGAUACCCUAGUAGUCC
RNAcentral lists this ribosomal RNA (772 nucleotides) under uncultured bacterium. RNAcentral's name for it is "bacterial SSU rRNA". It matches the Rfam family "Bacterial small subunit ribosomal RNA", at positions 8 to 796 of the family's 1533-position model. The record is from RNAcentral.